Long non-coding RNA from Apis florea (little honeybee), 1393 nucleotides. The record is from RefSeq and is a predicted model, not a curated record. NCBI's taxonomy places the organism in Eukaryota, Metazoa, Arthropoda, Insecta, Hymenoptera, Apidae.
CAGUUUGAAGUAAGAUGUUCUUUUCCUUUUAUAAUUUUAUGCAAAUUAUAAAUACACGAAUAAAUAAGAAACGAGAAGCAUACAAGAUUGUUUGUUUCAAGAUUUGCGUUUCACGAUUACGAUACCCAAUGCAUCUUUGUUGUUUUCGUAUUCAAUAUGUAGACUCGAACGUUUAAAAUAUCGCUUAUUUUCCUCCGUGUUAUUAAUAUUACAUUUUUAUCUUUCAGAAACUCCGAAGCGAUAUUGCGAGAUUUUCUAACCGACUCUCGGUUCUCAACGCGAUGAAAUCCGCUCAACAGUUGGACAAUUUAAUGGCGCCACGAGGAACGAUAGUUAUCAUCGCGCUUGUGGAGUGAAAGGUUAUCGUGUUAAGGAUACGUGUUGACGUGGCUCGCUUUAAAAGCGAUUUCAACCUUCGUUGAAAUCCUGAAAUGGGCGAGGCCGACCAGAUAUCCGGGCAGGAAGUUUGCGGAAAGUGCAGAGACAUUCCGCUGAUAAUAGCCUCACGAUGACGAGGGAGGGAAACGUUAACGAUUAUUAUCAUAACGCGAAAAGCUUGGAAAGAUUGUUGAGAUCUUAAAAGUUAUCCGAAUGCUCGGUAUAUUUUAUGAAAAAUAUUUAUUAUCUCAUUUUACAGCGUAAAAUUUUGUAAUUAUCUAUUUCGAAAUAUCAUAAUUGAGGAUCAUAUUUAUUUUACAUUAAUUGUUUGUUGAUUGGAAAAAAUUUAAAUUUAAAAUAAAACUCAUAAAAUGAACUUGAAAUUGAUCGUACGUGUACACAACGAAAAGAUUAAAAAUUAAAACACAAAAAAUGUUGCAACAGAAAAAACAAAAAGGAUGAAAGAUGGAAGAAUAAAAAGAAAGAAGUUGGAUCAAAUUCCCUUUAUAAUUUUUUACCACUUUCCGGUAAACGAUUUUAACGCUUCGCUAAUUUAUGGCUUCCAACAUUAAUCGGCUGACACGAUAAAUUCAUCCGGAAAUUAUUCGAAGAUUGCACGAUUAUCUGAUAAUGAUUCCCAUUUUAAUUAACUCCGCGUCAAGAGAUUGUAAACAAUUGGAAACGCGAGUUGCAAUUAAUUGCGGAUUUAUCUUUUGAAAACGUGCUAACGACUGCAUACAAAAAUUGAUGAUUGGUUUCUUUUUUUUUUUUUCUUUUCUCUUUUUCCCUUUUUCUAUUAUUUACAUUUCGAAAGAUUCUUUCCAUUCAUGACGAAGCGUAAAAUGACGGCGAAGGAAGAAAAGCUGAGCCGUGGGUGGCGCCGACCGAUAAGAGGAGGACUUCUUGUAGGCGGAUCUUUGGUUUUACGUAUCGAAUAAAAUGAUAAGUUCUGCGCAGAUAAUUCGAUGGUUGCGAUCGAGUGACAUAAAAAUAGACGAUGUUUUAUGUUGUUCGA